AAAACAAUAACAUUAAAAGAAAGAAAGAAAGAAACAGAUAAAAAAAGGAAAAGGAGGGAAAGGAAAAAUACAGCCAAGUACCUCGAAUUACCGCAAGAUUGAAGUAGAAAUAAUAAAGUAAAAGUGAUGACAUUGGGUAAUGAUAGUUAUAUUGAUAACUGUUUGUUAACCACUUGCAUCAGGAUAAAUUAACCAUUCAAAAUCAUGAAUAACUCUUAAAAAGGUUUUUUCUUCAGUGUGAAUGUAACUAGAUGUUUUUGAAAUUAUGUUAAUGAUUUUUCCUUUUGUGUCACUACCUUGAUACGGGUGCGCUUUGUCCACCUACUCGGCUAACAGAGCAAAUCAAGUGUGAUUGAUUUUAACAACGGAGGAUUUGAAAGCUUAGGGUAAAUUUUUUAAUUUGUGGUGAGAGGAACCCGAGAAUUUAAGUUGUGGAUCACUGAGCAGUCUAAAAUGGCAUUUGUGGAAAUUUUGAUCUUCGUUAUACUGCUAGCUGGAAGUACCACAACGAUCGUGACUCUUCUUACGCACUGUAAUGGCGGCAACGACGUAGAGAAGCACAGAAACCUAACGCCAGGAGGAGAAACGACUUCAACAAACAAAACUACAUGAAAUGUUAAGGGUUAUCAGGAUCUGUACCGGACUGAACUAAUCUUCAGAAUUAGUAACGCAGAAGAUAUUUUUCAAUUGGCGAAAAUGCAUGGGUUUUGUGGAUUGCAAUGAAACCAUUUUAUAAAUUUCAUUUCCUAUGGUCAGAAUAAGGACGCCAUGCCGUCCUUGAGCCGUCGUUGCUAGUGGAACAAAAAUAAUGUCAAAAAUAUUUGCUGGGGAUUUUUUAAUACCCUCAAUUCUAUUACUUAGUUUGUAUUUAAGGUUGCAUAAGAAUAUAUAGACGUUUUCUGUCCGCGGAGAAUUGACAAUGAUUAUACGUAUUUGCCCAAAUGCCUUUUAAAGUGCGUUUUUGUUGAGUUUCCAGGGAAACAUGUCUUACCUUAAAAUAUUUAGGCAAAAAUUAUUCAGAAUGAUGGGCUAGCAUUCAGCUCGCUUCUCUAAAGCAGACAUAUUUAACGCUUAUCUUUAAUGAGAGAGGCGAUCUCGGAGUUUCUUGUCACAAAAAAAGUUUACCAAAACGGAGCCAGAGUAAGUAAUUGGGGCAAAAUUUAGUUGAACGAGAAAUUCAUGCAGGUAUAUUCACGAUCCAAAGCAGAAAUUUAAAAUGAAACAUUUUAUUUGGCACAGAGAGGGAAGAGUCUAGACCAUUCUAAGCGAUUGAUCGAUAAAUUUUUAACCAAUCACCGUUCAUAUAUAGAUAUAUAUAUGAUGACUUAGCCUGUUAGUAGGUGAGAAAGAGCUUGUGAUUUUCACAGUGAGAGAAAUUUCUUUAGUGAAUAUGCAAAUCGUAAUUUCCUUCUGGAAAAGCCUGGGGUCCUUUAGGCAAACUUUUCGUAUUUAUUUGCAUAGCUAUAACUUCACGGUAUUCUUUGUUAAGGGGGAAUUUGAAAUUCGCACAUGUUGCUCAGGUUUUGGUGCGGUGUUUCGCCUUAUAAAAUCGCAUACUGCGGUAGCUCAAGUCCUCCGUAUGUAUUUUUGUGUUGUCUAAACACCGACAAGGGCCGAGCAGGAAUCAAGGCUUUUUGUGGUUUUUUGUUGAAUGAAUCUUAAUGGCAUAGUCGCUGAGUCCUUUUGUCAUCAAAGUGACAAUUCCAAAAUAUGCUAAUGUUAAUUUGAUAAAAAGACUUCUAACAUGGUAAAUACUUGAAACCAACGUUAUUGAUAAAUUAGCUUACAAUAUGUAAGCAACAAUCGAUUAGACCUGAACGAUCAAGGGUAUAUCCACUUUUCAUACAAGUUUAUAAAGCUGCUUUCUGAUUUGAUGAGUUGUAACUGUUGUUCGCGCACGGUUGACAGUUUUUGGUCAGCUUUUUGGGCAGUGAUGCAGUGUUCAAAAAGAAACAAACUAGGAGGCGUUGCGGAAUUAGAGUUUUUAAAAGCCCGGCCUCCUCUUUGAUCAUUCGACAAUCUACGGCUAUAAAUGUUGUAGUCAAAUGGGAAUUAACCUCGUAUUAUUUCACCA
Long non-coding RNA from Stylophora pistillata, 2074 nucleotides. The record is from RefSeq and is a predicted model, not a curated record. NCBI's taxonomy places the organism in Eukaryota, Metazoa, Cnidaria, Anthozoa, Scleractinia, Pocilloporidae.